CCCUGGUCGUAGUUUUUAAACUUAUCAAAUAUGAAAUGUAAUAUACAAACUCCUCGGGGAGGAAACGGGAACAGCCAAACAGUCUUAUGGUAUUUUCGUACCCUUCGACCUAUAAAUAUAUUGUAUUUGUCAUGUUAGAAUCGAAAUAAUUCCUUCAUGUCAUGCUCUAUGCUAAUUUUAACAUGGGUAGGCAAUAUAUUUGACCACAUUUU
This 212-nucleotide long non-coding RNA is filed under the name Mytilus galloprovincialis (Mediterranean mussel). The record is from RNAcentral. Lineage: Eukaryota; Metazoa; Mollusca; Bivalvia; Mytilida; Mytilidae.